UGCGCAGGCGGCCAGGUGUGUGAGGCGUGAAAGCCCGGGGCUUAACCCCGGAAUUGCACCUCAAACUACAUGGCUAGAGCAUUGGAGAGGGUAGCGGAAUUCACGGUGUAGCAGUGAAAUGCGUAGAUAUCGUGAGGAACACCAGAGGCGAAGGCGGCUACCUGGACAAUUGCUGACGCUCAGGCACGAAAGCGUGGGGAGCAAAAGGGAUUAGAUACCCCCUGUAGUCCACGCCCUAAACGGUGCACACUAGGUCUUGGCGGAUUCGACCCCCCCCAGGGCCCAAGCUAACGCGUUAAGUGUGCCGCCUGAGGACUACGGCCGCAAGGCUAAA
RNAcentral lists this ribosomal RNA (334 nucleotides) under uncultured bacterium. Its description in RNAcentral is "bacterial SSU rRNA". It matches the Rfam family "Bacterial small subunit ribosomal RNA", at positions 568 to 898 of the family's 1533-position model. The record is from RNAcentral.